GAUGAACGCUGGCGGCGUGCCUAAUACAUGCAAGUCGAACGCAUUGAGAGAAGUGCUCGCACUUUUCAAUUUGAGUGGCGAACGGGUGAGUAACACGUGGGCAACCUACCUGAUAGCGGGGGAUAACGAGUGGAAACAUUCGCUAAUACCGCAUGACAUUAGAGACGGCAUCUUCUUAAUUUACAAGGCGCUUUCAAGCGUCACUAUCAGAUGAGCCAGCGGUGCAUUAGUUAGUUGGUGGGGUGAAGGCCUACCAAGACGAUGAUGCCUAGCCGAGUGGAGAGGCUGAUCGGCCACAUUGGGACUGAGACACGGCCCAAACUACUACGGGAGGCUGCAGUAGGGAAUCUUCCACAAUGGACGAAAGUCUGAUGGAGCAACGCCGCGUGUGUGAUGAAGGCUUUCGGGUCUUAAAGCACUGUUGUAUGGGAAGAAAUGCUAGGCUAGGAAAUGAGCCUAGUUUGACGGUACCAUACCAGAAAGGGACGGCUAAAUACGUGCCAGCAGCCGCCGUAA
This 516-nucleotide ribosomal RNA is filed under the name uncultured bacterium. RNAcentral describes it as "partial 16S ribosomal RNA". It matches the Rfam family "Bacterial small subunit ribosomal RNA", at positions 28 to 523 of the family's 1533-position model. The record is from RNAcentral.